GUGGGAGGCUGGAUGGCUGCUUCGCUCAGCGAAGAGGAAAGUCCGAACUCCACAGGGCAGAAUGCUGGAUAACGUCCAGGCGGGGCAACCCGACGGAAAGUGCCACAGAAAAUAUACCGCCAGCCGGUGUUCCGGCUGGUAAGGGUGAAAUGGCGAGGUAAGAGCUCACCGCGAACCGGGCGACCGGGUCGGCAGGGUAAACCCCAUUCGGAGCAAGGCCAAAUAGGAGACAACAGGACGGCCCGUCCUGUCUCGGGUUAGGCCGCAUGAGCGGUACAGUAAUGUACCCCCCAGAUGAAUAGCCGUCCUCGACAGAAUUCGGCUUACAGGCCUCCCACUUUU
RNAcentral lists this RNase P RNA (342 nucleotides) under Candidatus Auribacter fodinae. Its description in RNAcentral is "Candidatus Aureabacteria bacterium SURF_26 RNase P RNA component class A". It matches the Rfam family "Bacterial RNase P class A". Rfam says of the family: Ribonuclease P (RNase P) is a ubiquitous endoribonuclease, found in archaea, bacteria and eukarya as well as chloroplasts and mitochondria. Its best characterised activity is the generation of mature 5'-ends of tRNAs by cleaving the 5'-leader elements of precursor-tRNAs. Lineage: Bacteria; Pseudomonadati; Candidatus Auribacterota; Candidatus Auribacteria; Candidatus Auribacterales; Candidatus Auribacteraceae. The record is from RNAcentral.